This 2901-nucleotide ribosomal RNA is filed under the name Yersinia pestis 1045. RNAcentral describes it as "bacterial LSU rRNA". It matches the Rfam family "Bacterial large subunit ribosomal RNA". The record is from RNAcentral. Lineage: Bacteria; Pseudomonadati; Pseudomonadota; Gammaproteobacteria; Enterobacterales; Yersiniaceae.
UAAGCGACUAAGCGUACACGGUGGAUGCCUAGGCAGUCAGAGGCGAUGAAGGGCGUGCUAAUCUGCGAAAAGCGUCGGUAAGCUGAUAUGAAGCGUUAUAACCGACGAUACCCGAAUGGGGAAACCCAGUGCAAUACGUUGCACUAUCGUUAGAUGAAUACAUAGUCUAACGAGGCGAACCGGGGGAACUGAAACAUCUAAGUACCCCGAGGAAAAGAAAUCAACCGAGAUUCCCCCAGUAGCGGCGAGCGAACGGGGAGGAGCCCAGAGUCUGAAUCAGUUUGUGUGUUAGUGGAAGCGUCUGGAAAGUCGCACGGUACAGGGUGAUAGUCCCGUACACCAAAAUGCACAGGCUGUGAACUCGAUGAGUAGGGCGGGACACGUGACAUCCUGUCUGAAUAUGGGGGGACCAUCCUCCAAGGCUAAAUACUCCUGACUGACCGAUAGUGAACCAGUACCGUGAGGGAAAGGCGAAAAGAACCCCGGCGAGGGGAGUGAAAUAGAACCUGAAACCGUGUACGUACAAGCAGUGGGAGCACCUUCGUGGUGUGACUGCGUACCUUUUGUAUAAUGGGUCAGCGACUUAUAUUUUGUAGCAAGGUUAACCGAAUAGGGGAGCCGUAGGGAAACCGAGUCUUAACUGGGCGUCUAGUUGCAAGGUAUAGACCCGAAACCCGGUGAUCUAGCCAUGGGCAGGUUGAAGGUUGGGUAACACUAACUGGAGGACCGAACCGACUAAUGUUGAAAAAUUAGCGGAUGACUUGUGGCUGGGGGUGAAAGGCCAAUCAAACCGGGAGAUAGCUGGUUCUCCCCGAAAGCUAUUUAGGUAGCGCCUCGUGAACUCAUCUUCGGGGGUAGAGCACUGUUUCGGCUAGGGGGCCAUCCCGGCUUACCAAACCGAUGCAAACUCCGAAUACCGAAGAAUGUUAUCACGGGAGACACACGGCGGGUGCUAACGUCCGUCGUGAAGAGGGAAACAACCCAGACCGCCAGCUAAGGUCCCAAAGUCAUGGUUAAGUGGGAAACGAUGUGGGAAGGCACAGACAGCCAGGAUGUUGGCUUAGAAGCAGCCAUCAUUUAAAGAAAGCGUAAUAGCUCACUGGUCGAGUCGGCCUGCGCGGAAGAUGUAACGGGGCUAAACCAUGCACCGAAGCUGCGGCAGCGACACUUAGGUGUUGUUGGGUAGGGGAGCGUUCUGUAAGCCGUUGAAGGUGACCUGUGAGGGUUGCUGGAGGUAUCAGAAGUGCGAAUGCUGACAUAAGUAACGAUAAUGCGGGUGAAAACCCGCACGCCGGAAGACCAAGGGUUCCUGUCCAACGUUAAUCGGGGCAGGGUGAGUCGACCCCUAAGGCGAGGCUGAAAAGCGUAGUCGAUGGGAAACAGGUUAAUAUUCCUGUACUUGGUGUUACUGCGAAGGGGGACGGAGAAGGCUAGGCUGGCCGGGCGACGGUUGUCCCGGUUUAAGCGUGUAGGGGGAGUGACCAGGUAAAUCCGGUUGCUUAUCAACCCUGAGGCGUGAUGACGAUGCACCACGGUGCAGAAGCAGUUGAUGCCAUGCUUCCAGGAAAAGCCUCUAAGCAUCAGGUAACAUUAAAUCGUACCCCAAACCGACACAGGUGGUCAGGUAGAGAAUACUCAGGCGCUUGAGAGAACUCGGGUGAAGGAACUAGGCAAAAUGGUGCCGUAACUUCGGGGAGAAGGCACGCUGGCGUUAGGUGAAAGGACUAGCUCCUGGAGCUGAAGCCAGUCGCAGAUACCAGCUGGCUGCAACUGUUUAAUAAAAACACAGCACUGUGCAAACACGAAAGUGGACGUAUACGGUGUGACGCCUGCCCGGUGCUGGAAGGUUAAUUGAUGGGGUCAGCCGCAAGGGGAAGCUCUUGAUCGAAGCCCCAGUAAACGGCGGCCGUAACUAUAACGGUCCUAAGGUAGCGAAAUUCCUUGUCGGGUAAGUUCCGACCUGCACGAAUGGCGUAAUGAUGGCCAGGCUGUCUCCACCCGAGACUCAGUGAAAUUGAACUCGCUGUGAAGAUGCAGUGUACCCGCGGCAAGACGGAAAGACCCCGUGAACCUUUACUAUAGCUUGACACUGAACAUUGAGCCUUGAUGUGUAGGAUAGGUGGGAGGCCUUGAAGUGUGGACGCCAGUCUGCAUGGAGCCAACCUUGAAAUACCACCCUUUAAUGUUUGAUGUUCUAACUCGGCCCCAUGAUCUGGGGUGAGGACAGUGUCUGGUGGGUAGUUUGACUGGGCGGUCUCCUCCCAAAGAGUAACGGAGGAGCACGAAGGUUAGCUAAUCACGGUCGGACAUCGUGAGGUUAGUGCAAAGGCAUAAGCUAGCUUGACUGCGAGAGUGACGGCUCGAGCAGGUACGAAAGUAGGUCUUAGUGAUCCGGUGGUUCUGAAUGGAAGGGCCAUCGCUCAACGGAUAAAAGGUACUCCGGGGAUAACAGGCUGAUACCGCCCAAGAGUUCAUAUCGACGGCGGUGUUUGGCACCUCGAUGUCGGCUCAUCACAUCCUGGGGCUGAAGUAGGUCCCAAGGGUAUGGCUGUUCGCCAUUUAAAGUGGUACGCGAGCUGGGUUUAGAACGUCGUGAGACAGUUCGGUCCCUAUCUGCCGUGGGCGUUGGAAGAUUGAGAGGGGCUGCUCCUAGUACGAGAGGACCGGAGUGGACGAAUCACUGGUGUUCGGGUUGUCAUGCCAAUGGCAUUGCCCGGUAGCUAAAUUCGGAAGAGAUAACCGCUGAAAGCAUCUAAGCGGGAAACUUGCCUCGAGAUGAGUCUUCCCUGGGGCUUAAAGCCCCCUGAAGGAACGUUAAAGACUAUGACGUUGAUAGGCUGGGUGUGUAAGUGCAGCGAUGUAUUGAGCUAACCAGUACUAAUGAUCCGUGAGGCUUAACCU